RNAcentral lists this ribosomal RNA (59 nucleotides) under Securidaca virgata. Its description in RNAcentral is "partial 26S ribosomal RNA". Lineage: Eukaryota; Viridiplantae; Streptophyta; Magnoliopsida; Fabales; Polygalaceae. The record is from RNAcentral.
GAGCGACCCCAGGUCAGGCGGGACCACCCGCUGAGUUUAAGCAUAUCAAUAAGCGGAGG